Molecule: ribosomal RNA, 279 nt
Filed under: Blaps wiedemanni
Lineage: Eukaryota; Metazoa; Arthropoda; Insecta; Coleoptera; Tenebrionidae
Description: partial 12S ribosomal RNA
Source: RNAcentral
CAGAGGAACCUGUUUUUUAAUCGAUGGUCCACGAUAAGUUUUACUUUAGUUUUAAAUUUAUAUAUCGUCGUUAUUAAUAAUUUUAUGAGAAUUUUAAUUUUUGAGAUUUUUUAUUAUAAGUUAGUUCAGAUCAAGGUGUAGUUUAUGUUGAAGUUAAAAUGGGUUACAUUUCAUUUAUGAUUGGUUCUUUUUUUUAAAUUUUUAGAUAAAUUGGAUUUGAUAGUAAAUUCUUUAUUUAGUGGAGUUGAUUUAGCUCUAAAAUAUGCACAUAUCGCCCGU